Sebastes umbrosus (honeycomb rockfish) is the source of this 287-nucleotide long non-coding RNA. RefSeq lists it as uncharacterized. NCBI's taxonomy places the organism in Eukaryota, Metazoa, Chordata, Actinopteri, Perciformes, Sebastidae. The record is from RefSeq and is a predicted model, not a curated record. The transcript is spliced from 2 exons.
GAGGUGGCAGAACCAGGGUUGGAUGUGGCCUUUACCGGUUGCCUCAAGGCCAGCGGGGACGGGGUGACUGGAGUCCGCAGCUUACUGGGAGAGGGGACUGAAGACAGGCAGAGCAGGAAUACAGUCAGCAACAGGAGAGUGGGACUAGACAAAGACGAAGACAACAGAGACAGGCCUUAAGUCAGAGCUGAGGAUGGGCUUCAAUGUGGCGUCUCUUACUGCCCGUUUGUUUUCUUAACAAACUAUGACGUUACAUGGCCCGUGAUUAAAGCGGCAGUUAUACAAAA